Molecule: RNA transcript, 2249 nt
Organism: Hordeum vulgare subsp. vulgare (domesticated barley)
Lineage: Eukaryota; Viridiplantae; Streptophyta; Magnoliopsida; Poales; Poaceae
Gene name: mediator of RNA polymerase II transcription subunit 15a-like
Exons: 3
Source: RefSeq, a predicted model, not a curated record
AUGCUACUGUAACCCUCCCCUAUGCUGGAACCGCUCCCGACGUCGCUCGGUGCCGCCCCCGCCCCUGCGCGCUCGCCGCCGCUCCCGACGUCGCUCGGUGCCGCCCCCGCCCCCGCCCCGCCCCACGCGCUCGCCGCCGGCCCCAUCCCCUUCGAGAUCCGACAAGGACCAACAUGCACGAACCACCAACCAUGGACGCAAGCUGGAGCGGCGGCGUUAACCUGAACGCCCCUCCGCCCGCCGGAGGCGACUGGCGCGCCGAGCUCCAGCCCGAGGCGCGCAGCAGGGUCGUCAACAAGAUGUAUGGAAUUUCCCGCGUGUUUGCGGGUCGAUUUCCUCGUCGAUCCAUCCGAUAGAGCUUCGAUCUAGCCAUAUAUCCUCCUUAGCGGCAGCAAAAGGUCAACUUCCUACUGCACCUGCUCUGCUUUCAGUCCAGCCUAAUAAUUACAGUACUUCAUUUAACUAGCAUUGAGUUAUGUCUGAACAAUUUAGCGCAAGUUUACUCACCAAGAGGUGCAAAUUUUUUCAUUGCGCACAGCAAUUCAGUAGCAUGACACACAUGUCACAGCUUUUGAUCUCCUAGGGGAAACCAUGCUACAUUAGAAUUAGUACUGUGUCGGGAUACAAUUUUGUUCUGAAACUAGAGUUCCUCGUACGCAGCAUGCAUGCUUCCCCAAGUGGAUAUAUACUCCUCACACGAUCACACGCCAUGAUCAAAUCGAUCCCCGCAGCACCUCCUUGGUCUUAGCAACGUCGAAAAUUACGCCUUGCCCAUAGGAAUGGAGCGAGCAUAUGAUUGAUUGGGGAUUGGAGAUCUACCUCAACCGGCUGCUCUUCCCGCUCGUUCCACCUUACUCCACGCCGUUGAAAGCAAUGCAUGCCAACAAAGUUAUUCACAUUUUGCAUCAUACGCGCAAAAUGGAAUCUCUGAAGAAGCAUCUGCCAGUUUUGGUGCCAGAGGGGCUGAACAAGCUUCAAAUCAUCGUUGUGCGAUUCGAAGAGAAGAUGUAUGCUGCAGCGACCAGCCAGGUAAUAUAACCUAUCUUGGUGGCAACUCGGGGCAGAGCACAUUUUAUUUAUUUUUAGUUAUGGAGGUCAUACAAGGUUUAUGGGUUAGAAAUAGAGCAUAACCGUUUCCAAAUGUCGUACUCCCUCUGAUCCAAAUUAUUUGUGGCAGUUGUGACAAUUAAUUUGGAUCGCAGUAGAUGUAUUUUCGCCCCGAGUGGCCUCAGAGCCCUUACACACACUACAUUCCAGAAUAUAACCCAAAAAGUUAUAUGCGGAAUAUGGAAUUGAGCAAGUAUAUUUUUAAUCUUUUUUGUCACUAUUUUGAUUUGUAUUUUCUAUUCAUAUCGCUUAUUUGGGGCCUAUUUUGAUUUGUAUUUUCUGUUCAUAUCGCUUAUUUGGGGCAGUGUGUUUUGCUACUUAGAUGGCCUUUUAUGUAUAACUAUGAUUCAAAUAUUUAAAGUUGAAGCACCUUCUUGAGCAUGCUAAACUGCUAAUCAACCAGAACUGUUGGUUGCAAGCUACUAUUGGUAAUUUGGUAUAAAAUUUACAUUGUUUUCCUUUGUAUUACCCAACCUGAUUAUUUACAGAAGAUCUCUCUUAAAAUGUUAUCUAUGGAGACGAAGACACAGCAGGCUCCUGGAAAUGCUCAAGUGAUUCCAAAUCAAAACAACCCCGGUCAAGGCACCGAGGAACCUUGGAUGCUUCGAUGAUGACGAGGAAAGAAUUGCAUAUCGGAAGGUGCUAGGACAGGAAAUAAGUGUGCUCAAGAACCACAAGACACGCCCGCUGUUGAAGGAACUCCUGAGUUGCCUCCAAAAAGGCAACGCACAGGGGAUGCUAUCUUGUCAAUGAUGGGAAAAAUGCAGAUGUCCUUUGAUGAUGCUUUGAAGACAACCGAGCCAACUCCGAUGCCAAAGGUGACUCCUACAACUGAAAUCCUUGCUGCACUUAAGAAAGUACAGGGUUUGGAGGAUAAGGAACUGCUGAGAGCUUAUGGGAAGUUGAUUAAAGAUGAGCGCAUGUUUGAAGCGCUCAUGGCACUCCCCGAAGAUUUAAGGAAGCCAUGGCUCUUGACCUUGGAGUGAUGGUUGCUAUCGUGUUUGGUUGAUGUAUGAACUUCUAUGUACUUUUAUGUUUGCGAACUAUAAGCUUCUGCUAUGUGUACGAGACAUAAACUAUCCACCGAUGCUAUAUUUUAGAGACAUAAUUAUUAUCCAUAUCAUGUUGUUGGUACUUCUAAA